CCUACGGGCGGCAGCAGUGAGGAAUAUUGGUCAAUGGUCGGGAGACUGAACCAGCCAAGCCGCGUGAGGGAGGAAGGUACAGAGUAUCGUAAACCUCUUUUGUCAGGGAACAAAGACUGGGACGCGUCCCCGGAUGAGUGUACCUGAAGAAAAAGCAUCGGCUAACUCCGUGCCAGCAGCCGCGGUAAUACGGAGGAUGCGAGCGUUAUCCGGAUUUAUUGGGGUUAAAGGGUGCGCAGGCGGUCUGUUAAGUCAGCGGUGAAAGCCCGGGGCUCAACCCCGGCCCGCCGUUGAAACUGGGAGGCUCGAGUGGGAGAGAGGUAGGCGGAAUGCGCGGUGGAGCGGUGAAAUGCAUAGAUAUCGCGCAGAACUCCGAGUGCGAAGGCAGCAUGCCGGGUCCACACUGACGCUGAGGCACGAAGGCGUGGGUAUCGAACAGGAUUAGAGACCCCGGUAGUC
Molecule: ribosomal RNA, 459 nt
Filed under: uncultured bacterium
Lineage: Bacteria
Description: partial 16S ribosomal RNA
Rfam family: Bacterial small subunit ribosomal RNA
Source: RNAcentral